UCCGUAGGUGAACCUGCGGAAGGAUCAUUACCGAGUGCGGGUCCUACGGGCCGAACCUCCCAUCCGUGUCUAUCCUACCCUGUUGCUUCGGCGGGCCCGCCGCUUGUCGGCCGCCGGGGGGGCGCCUCUGCCCCCCGGGCCCGUGCCCGCCGGAGACCCCAACACGAACACUGUCUGAAAGCGUGCAGUCUGAGUUGAUUGGGUGCAAUCAGUUAAUACUUUCAACAUUGGAUCUCUUGGUUCCGGCAUCGAUGAAGAACGCAGCGAAAUGCGAUAACUAAUGUGAAUUGCAGAAUUCAGUGAAUCAUCGAGUCUUUGAACGCACAUUGCGCCCCCUGGUAUUCCGGGGGGCAUGCCUGUCCGAGCGUCAUUGCUGCCCUCAAGCUCGGUUUGUGUGUUGGGUCGCCGUCCCCCUCUCCGGGGGGACGGGCCCGAAAGGCAGCGGCGGCACCGCGUCCGAUCCUCGAGCGUAUGGGGCUUUGUCACAUGCUCUGUAGGAUUGGCCGGCGCCUGCCGACGUUUUCCAACCAUUAUUUCCAGGUUGACCUCGGAUCAGGUAGGGAUACCCGCUGAACUUAAGCAUAUCAAUAAGCGGA
This 596-nucleotide ribosomal RNA is filed under the name Aspergillus niger. Its description in RNAcentral is "eukaryotic LSU rRNA". The stretch from base 217 to 370 matches the Rfam family "5.8S ribosomal RNA". The record is from RNAcentral. Lineage: Eukaryota; Fungi; Ascomycota; Eurotiomycetes; Eurotiales; Aspergillaceae.